GAUGAAGAACGUAGCGAAAUGCGAUAAGUAAUGCGAAUUGCAGAUCUCCGUGAGUCAUUGAAUCUUUGAACGCACAUUGCGCCCGCCAGUAUUCUGGCGGGCAUGCCUGUUCGAGCGUCAUUUCAACCAUCAAGCCCCCGGCUUGUGUUGGGGACCUGCGGCUGCCGCAGGCCCUGAAAAGCAGUGGCGGGCUCGCUGUCACACCGAGCGUAGUAGCAUACAUCUCGCUCCGGGCGUGCUGCGGGUUCCGGCCGUUAAACCACCUUCAUAACCCAAGGUUGACCUCGGAUCAGGUAGGAAGACCCGCUGAACUUAAGCAUAUCAAUAAGCGGAGGA
RNAcentral lists this unclassified non-coding RNA (336 nucleotides) under soil metagenome. RNAcentral's name for it is "partial contains 5.8S ribosomal RNA, internal transcribed spacer 2, and large subunit ribosomal RNA". The stretch from base 1 to 120 matches the Rfam family "5.8S ribosomal RNA", at positions 35 to 154 of the family's 154-position model. The record is from RNAcentral.